Molecule: ribosomal RNA, 345 nt
Filed under: uncultured bacterium
Lineage: Bacteria
Description: partial 16S ribosomal RNA
Rfam family: Bacterial small subunit ribosomal RNA
Source: RNAcentral
CCUACGGGAGGCAGCAGUAGGGAAUUUUCCACAAUGGGCGAAAGCCUGAUGGAGCAACGCCGCGUGGGUGAAGAAGGUCUUCGGAUCGUAAAACCCUGUUGUUAGAGAAGAAAGUGCGUGAGAGUAACUGUUCACGUUUCGACGGUAUCUAACCAGAAAGCCACGGCUAACUACGUGCCAGCAGCCGCGGUAAUACGUAGGUGGCAAGCGUUAUCCGGAUUUAUUGGGCGAAAAGGGAACGCAGGCGGUCUUUUAAGUCUGAGGUGAAAGCCUUGGGCUUAACCGGAGUAGGGCAUUGGAAACUGGGGGACUUGGGUGCAGAAGGGGAGAGGGGAACUCCAUGUG